Molecule: ribosomal RNA, 443 nt
Filed under: uncultured bacterium
Lineage: Bacteria
Description: partial 16S ribosomal RNA
Rfam family: Bacterial small subunit ribosomal RNA
Source: RNAcentral
CCUACGGGAGGCAGCAGUGGGGAAUAUUGCACAAUGGGGGAAACUCUGAUGCAGCAACGCCGCGUGAAGGAAGACGGUUUUCGGAUUGUAAACUUCUAUCAAUAGGGAAGAAAGAAAUGACGGUACCUAAAUAAGAAGCCCCGGCUAACUACGUGCCAGCAGCCGCGGUAAUACGUAGGUGGCAAGCGUUAUCCGGAAUUACUGGGUGUAAAGGGAGAGUAGGCGGCAAGGUAAGCGGUAUGUGAAAGCCUUAAGCUUAACUUAAGGAUGACAUAACGAACUAUCUAGCUAGAGUACAGGAGAGGAAAGCGGAAUUCCUAGUGUAGCGGUGAAAUGCGUAGAUAUUAGGAAGAACAUCAGUGGCGAAGGCAGCUUUCUGGACUGAAACUGACGCUGAGGCUCGAAAGCGUGGGGAGCGAACAGGAUUAGAUACCCUAGUAGUC